Molecule: ribosomal RNA, 252 nt
Filed under: uncultured bacterium
Lineage: Bacteria
Description: partial 16S ribosomal RNA
Rfam family: Bacterial small subunit ribosomal RNA
Source: RNAcentral
UACGUAGGGUGCGAGCGUUGUCCGGAAUUAUUGGGCGUAAAGGGCUCGUAGGCGGUUUGUCGCGUCGGGAGUGAAAUCCACUGGCUUAACUGGUGGCUUGCUUUCGAUACGGGCAGACUAGAGGUAGGUAGGGGAGAAUGGAAUUCCCGGUGUAGCGGUGAAAUGCGCAGAUAGUCGGAGGAACACCGGUGGCGAAGGCGGUUCUCUGGGCCUUACCUGACGCUGAGGAGCGAAAGCGUGGGAGCGAACGGA